UCACUAUGAUGAUUGUUUGCCAACCAUUCGCAGUUUCCACCAGAAAGGUUUUCCUUAAUGUUGGCUAAACCUUCCUUGGAUGUCUGAGUGA
Molecule: small nucleolar RNA, 91 nt
Filed under: Pelusios castaneus (West African mud turtle)
Lineage: Eukaryota; Metazoa; Chordata; Testudines; Pelomedusidae
Description: Small nucleolar RNA SNORD14 (ENSPCEG00000007676.1)
Rfam family: Small nucleolar RNA SNORD14
About the family: U14 small nucleolar RNA (U14 snoRNA) is required for early cleavages of eukaryotic precursor rRNAs. In yeasts, this molecule possess a stem-loop region (known as the Y-domain) which is essential for function.
Source: Rfam by way of RNAcentral